CAUAUGGGGUUGCGAUCACCCCACGAGGCGACAUGCCGAAGAAUCGCGUCCAUCGAAACCGAACAACGGAGGGACGCGUCUUG
Rhizobium sp. CF142 is the source of this 83-nucleotide non-coding RNA. The record is from Rfam. NCBI's taxonomy places the organism in Bacteria, Pseudomonadati, Pseudomonadota, Alphaproteobacteria, Hyphomicrobiales, Rhizobiaceae.